UGAACGCGAAGAACCUUACCAGCCCUUGACAUGUCCAGGACCGGUCGCAGAGACGUGUCCUUCUCUUCGGAGCCUGGAGCACAGGUGCUGCAUGGCUGUCGUCAGCUCGUGUCGUGAGAUGUUGGGUUAAGUCCCGCAACGAGCGCAACCCCCGUCCUUAGUUGCUACCAUUUAGUUGAGCACUCUAAGGAGACUGCCGGUGAUAAGCCGCGAGGAAGGUGGGGAUGACGUCAAGUCCUCAUGGCCCUUACGGGCUGGGCUACACACGUGCUACAAUGGCGGUGACAAUGGGAAGCGAAGACGCAAGUCCUAGCAAAUCUCAAAAAGCCGUCUCAGUUCGGAUUGGGCUCUGCAACUCGAGCCCAUGAAGUUGGAAUCGCUAGUAAUCGUGGAUCAGCACGCCACGGUGAAUACGUUCCCGGGUCUUGUACACACGCA
This 438-nucleotide ribosomal RNA is filed under the name bacterium CPTAC137. RNAcentral describes it as "bacterial SSU rRNA". It matches the Rfam family "Bacterial small subunit ribosomal RNA", at positions 956 to 1394 of the family's 1533-position model. The record is from RNAcentral.